This 1155-nucleotide ribosomal RNA is filed under the name Triticum aestivum (bread wheat). RNAcentral's name for it is "partial small subunit ribosomal RNA". Lineage: Eukaryota; Viridiplantae; Streptophyta; Magnoliopsida; Poales; Poaceae. The record is from RNAcentral.
AUGCUCCUCCGGCUCCGGUGCUACAUCCUCACCCAGCUCCUAUCGUCUCCCUCCGCCUCUCCCGCCUCCCAGCUGCACCGCCUCUUCUCCGCCGCAGCGCCCGGCGCCUCCCCGAACCCUAGCUUCGCCGUGGAGGAGUACCUCGUCGCCACCUGCGGCCUCACCCGACCCCAGGCCCUCAAGGCCUCCGCCAAGCUCUCCCACCUCAGGUCCCCCGCCAAUCCCGACGCCGUGCUCGCCUUCCUCGCCGGCCUCGGUCUCUCCGACGCCGAUGUCGCCGCCCUCGUCGCCAGGGACCCGCAGUUCCUCUGCGCCAGCGUGGAGAGAACCCUGACGCCCGUAGCCGCAGGGCUCUCUGGCCUCGGCUUAUCGCGUUCCGACAUCGCGCGUCUCGCAUCGCUCGCCGCCCACAAAUUCCGCCAAAAAUCUGUCCUCUCCAAGCUGCAGUACUACCUGCGCCUCUUCGGCACCUCCCACAACUUCCUCCGGGUGAUGAAGUUCUCCAAUAUCCUCUCACACAGCAUCGAGAGGGUGGUCAAGCCCAAUGUCGCGUACCUGCGAGAGUGUGGGUUGCAGGAUUGUGAUAUCGCCAAGUUUUGCAUCCAAAGACCGAGGAUGAUCAUCAGCAACCCGGAGCAUGUUCAGGCAAUGGUGGCGUGCGCUGAAAACAUUGGUGUGCCCCGUGCCUCUGGGAUGUUCAGGCACGCACUUCAGGCUGUUGCAUUCCUCGGUGAGGAGGAGAUCACAGUCAGGGUGGGGUACUUGAAGAGCACGUUCAGGUGGACGGAUGCUGAGGUAGGCAUGGCUGUUUCUAAGUUUCCACCGUUGCUGAGGGGGUCCGAGAAAUCGCUGCAGCGCAGAUUUGAGUUCCUCAUCUCCGAGGUGGGUUUGGAAUCGGCGUACAUUGCUCAGCGACCCGUAAUGCUAGGUCUCAGCCUAGAGGGCCGGCUCAGGCCCCGGCACUACGCUGUAAAGUUUAUCAAGGAAAAUGGAUUGCUCAAGUGUGACCCAAGCUACUAUACUGUUUUCAAGGAGUCCGACAUGACAUUCAAGAAGAAGUUCAUACACCCUCAUAAGGAAGCUGCACCGCACCUUGAAAAAGACUACGAUGCUGCUUGUAAAGGGGAAGUGCCCACUAAUUUCAGAUUCACAUAA